RNAcentral lists this non-coding RNA (23 nucleotides) under Cricetulus griseus (Chinese hamster). Lineage: Eukaryota; Metazoa; Chordata; Mammalia; Rodentia; Cricetidae. The record is from RNAcentral.
UUGUGUUGUGGCCUUAUUCUUGC